This 1488-nucleotide ribosomal RNA is filed under the name uncultured Bordetella sp. RNAcentral describes it as "partial 16S-23S ribosomal RNA intergenic spacer". It matches the Rfam family "Bacterial small subunit ribosomal RNA". Lineage: Bacteria; Pseudomonadati; Pseudomonadota; Betaproteobacteria; Burkholderiales; Alcaligenaceae. The record is from RNAcentral.
AGUUCGAUCAUGGCUCAGAUUGAACGCUGGCGGGAUACUUUACACAUACAAGUCGAACGGCAGCACGGACUUCGGUCUGGUGGCGGUGAACGGGUAGGUAAUGUAUCGGAACGUACCCUGAAAACAACGCGGGGAUAACUACGCGAAAGCGUAGCUAAUACCGCAUACGCCCUUCGAGGAAAGCAGGGGACCUUCGGACCACUCGCACUAUUGAAACGGCCGAUAUCGGAUUAGCUAGUUGGUGGGGUAACGGCUCACCAAGGCGACGAUCCGUAGCUGGUUUAAGAGGACGACCAGCUACACUGGGACUGAGACACGGCCCAGACUCUACGGAGAACAUGAUGGGGAAUUUUGGACAAUGGGGAAACCUGAUCCAGCCAUCCCGUGUGCGAUGAAGGCGGGUUGUAAAGCACUUUUGGCAGGAAAGAAACGGCACGGGAUAAUACCCCGUGCAACUGACCGUACCUGCAGAAUAAGCACCAGCUAACUACGUGCCAGCAACCGCGGUAAUACGUAGGGUGCAAGCGUUAAAGCAUCGGAAUUACUGGGCGUAAAGCGUGCGCAGGCCGGUUCGGAAAGAAGAUCAUGAAAUCCCAAGAGCUUAACUUUAGAUUCAUUUUUAACUACCGAGCUAGAGUGUGUCAGAGGGAGGUGGAAUUCCUGUGUAGCAGUGAAAUGCGUAGAUAUGCGGAGGAACACCGAUGGCAGAGGCAGCACUCCUGAGGAUACUUUGGCGCUCAUGCACGAAAGCGUGGGGAGCAAACAGGAUUAGAUACCCUGGUAGUCCACGCCUAAACGAUAUCGAAAACUAGCUGUUGGGGCCUUCAGGCCUUGGUAGCGCAGCUAACGCGUGAAGUUGACCGCCUGGGGAAGUACGGUCGCCAAGAUUAAAACUCAAAGGAAUUGACGGGGGACCCGCACAAGCGGUGGAUGAUGUGGAUUAAUUCGAUGCAGCGCGAAAAACCUUACUACACCCUUGACAUGUCUGGAAUCCCGAAGAGAUUUGGGAGUGCUCGCCAAGAGAACCGGAACACAGGUGCUGCAUGGCUGUCGUCAGCUCGUGUCGUGAGAUGUUGGGUUAAGUCACAACACAGGCAACCCUUGUCGACUGAUUGCUACGAAAGACACUCUAAUAGAGACUGCCGGUAGCAAACCGGAGGAAGGUGGGGAUGACGUCAAGUCCUCAUGGCCCUUAUGGGUAGGGCUUCACACGUCCAUACAAUGGUCGGGACAGAGGGUCGCCAACCCGCGAGGGAGCCAAUCCGAAACCCAGUCAUCGUCCGGAUCUGAUCUGCAACUCGACCGUGAAGUGGAAUCGCUGGUAAUCGCGGAUCAGCAUGCGGUGAAUACGUUCCGGGUCUUGUACCGCCCGUCACACCAUGGGAGUGGGUUUUUACCAAGAAGUAGUUAACUAUACGUAAGGAAGGCGAUUACCACGGUAGGAUUCAUGACUGGGGUGAAGUCGUAACUAAAGUAGCUAUUACUGCA